GGAAGUUGUCUGAUGAAGAUGGCUGUAUUUGUAAGGUGGCUGGUCUGAUUUCAUGGCCAUCAGAAUCAAGGUACAAAGUGGGGCCAGAAUAAAAGCUCCAGGGACUUCCUGGCAGUGGCAGAUUCAGACAGGAGUCAAGUCUGAUUGGUCAAUUGCAUGUGACCAGUACUGCUUAGUGUGGCAUUAAACAAACCAAUCCACCGACAAUAUGCAGUGGCAUUAUGGCAUUCAGCAAUUCCACACUGUAUCAUCACAGACCCAAAUCGUCAUGCUUCCACAGGUUGAUGUUUGUUAGGAUGCCUCCAGACACAUACAUGCCUUUCCAG
Haliotis rubra (blacklip abalone) is the source of this 326-nucleotide long non-coding RNA. RefSeq lists it as uncharacterized. The record is from RefSeq and is a predicted model, not a curated record. The transcript has 3 exons. NCBI's taxonomy places the organism in Eukaryota, Metazoa, Mollusca, Gastropoda, Lepetellida, Haliotidae.